This 252-nucleotide ribosomal RNA is filed under the name uncultured bacterium. Its description in RNAcentral is "partial 16S ribosomal RNA". It matches the Rfam family "Bacterial small subunit ribosomal RNA", at positions 524 to 776 of the family's 1533-position model. The record is from RNAcentral.
UACGGAGGAUGCGAGCGUUAUCCGGAUUUAUUGGGUUUAAAGGGUGCGCAGGCGGAUUUUUAAGUCAGCGGUCAAAUCGUGGGGCUCAACCCCAUCCAGCCGUUGAAACUGGGGAUCUAGAGUGUGCGAGAGGUAUGCGGAAUGCGUGGUGUAGCGGUGAAAUGCAUAGAUAUCACGCAGAACCCCGAUUGCGAAGGCAGCAUACCGGUGCACAACUGACGCUCAGGCACGGAAGCGUGGGUAUCGAACAGG